UGUUAUGACCCAGGAUCCUUACAUGGAUGGUCCCGCGUCGCCCUCCACGCAGUCCUAAGCGCUCGGUGCUGCUUUUUCGUGCCCAUUUUACCGAUGAGGAAACUGAGGGUUAGAGAGGACCAAACGACUGGCUAAAGGGCAGUGGAAAUCCUCAAAUAUAUACAUGCUUUCUGUGCUAGCAGUUUCGGGAGUUGGGUUUUGUUUUGCUUCUCUCAAUUUUCUUCAUUGUGGUAAAAUACACAUAACAGAAUUUGCCAUAUUGACCAUUUUUAAGUGCACUGUUCAGUGGUAUUAAAUACAUUCAUAAUCUCCAGCGAUCACCAUCACCCAUCUUGUAAAACAAGCUCUAGACCCAUUAAAAACUCCCCUUUCCUGGCUGGCUCGGUGGGCAGACCUAGGGACUCCUGCUCUCCGGGUCCACGGCUGGAGCGCCGCUCUGGGUACAGAGAUUGCUUACCAAACAACAAACACUUCCCCAUUCCCCCCUCCCCCAGGCUCUGGCACCCACUUGGAAUUAGGUAUUUUUGAACCUAUUUCACAAAUAUGAAAAAACUAAGACCGGUAGAAAUAGCAUCAGCAGCAUCCAAGGCUGGGGCUUCCUACCCCACUCCUACCUGCACCAUCGCGGCACCCCCCCCCCAUUCCCCUGCUGCCUUCCAAAUGGGAGCAGCCGCCCUGCCCUGGGGCUCCUGGGGCUCCUGGGCUGGGGAGAAAUGGGGGUGGGGGGGCAAAGCCCCUAUUGAGGGAGGAGAAUGGGAAAGUUUCUAAGUAGGGUGGGACUCAGCCCUGGGGCCGGUUAGGGAGGGGUAGGACCGAUCCCAGAACUGCAGCACAGGAGGGUGAUGGAGGCAGAGAAAGGCAGAGGUCGGGCUAGGAUUACAAAGUAACCGCUUUUCCAAGAACACAACAGGCUUGUUUACGAGUCUCUGAAGGCAGAACUGCGGGUCCAGGGGAGCUCCCCUCCCCCCCUGGUUCUGCCGUUUGCUACCGUUGGGGCCCCCUGACCCCUUCCUCCCACUUCUGGAGUGACAGGCAGUGAUGCCCACUUUUCCUUCAGUGUUAUCAGUGAAAUGGGCUGACCCCACCCCACACCAGGCAGGGCUAUAGGGAGGAUCAGAGGAGAUAAUGAUCUGUGACCACCAACAGAUAAUCCUUAGUAAACAACAGAGCUGAAGCUUCAGGGGCCCCUCUCUGGGGGCUCUUCUGACCUCUUACAUUUUGUAAUCCUCUGAGGACCCCCAAAUCCCAUCACCUGUAAGCCCCACAAAGACUGGAUCAUCCCAACCUUCUCUGAGAGCCACAGGCUGCCUUACAGGCAGGAGUGAGGAGGCCUAUAAAAUAGGGGACCCUCUCCAAAUGCCUCACUCAGAAGGAAAGUAAUGACACAGAGGCUGGUGGGCCAAAAAGACCCGAUGUGCCGGAGAAUACCUCCAGAGGGGCUUCGAGGCUGAAGGUGCAGAGGCCAGGCACAUAGACUGCCUGAUGCAGCAGGAAUGAGCAUCCUGGUGUCACAGACACCAGAGCACCCACAACGGGUCCCAGAGCAGGCAAGAGACAACUUGCGACCCCAUUUUACAGAUCAGGAAACUGAGGAUCUAAAAAAGGAGGCUAGUGGCGCCCCGCUGGCUCAGUCGGAGGAGUACUUUUGGCCUCGCCUUGGGACACCUGAUCUGGAAAAUUCUCCCGCUCUGAGAGGCUUCGUAAUAUCAGGAGGGACCCAUCAAAGGGCUUUGCUGUUCUCUCCUGACUUGUGCCUGAGCUCCUCGCCAGGAGGCUGUGGAGAGCUCUGUGGGCUGGGCGUGUUCCUGGGUGAUUUCGUGUCACCUUCAUGUGCUCCUGCAAGGGAGUGGGGGACAGUGACACCCAGUUGUGAGGACGGCAGCGGGUGCCUGAAGAGACCGUCAUGCGAUGACUGUCCCAGGUCACUCAGCAGCUGGUGGGGCUACUGCGUCCCUUGUUACCUGUUUUGCUCUGUCCUUCCACCACACCUUCUGCUGUCGCCCGUAUUUAUUUACAAAUGUGUUUGUCUAUUGUCGGACUCCCCGCUCCCCACUGAGACUGAGCCGGGCUUGGUUUGUUCUGGGCAGGGCUCGAGGGUGGGGGCUCAGUCAGUACUUGCUGAGCCAGCAAAUGCAUUGAGGAUGAGCACCUCCGGGCUUGUCUGUUUUGAGUCAGUUUCCUCCCUGUGUCCUUACAUCAUUUCUCCCCCAAGAACCACAUUUUACAAUAGUUUCUAUGGCAGCUCGCAGCUUCCUCCCUCUUCUUUAAGUGAGGGUGGGGGAGGAACUGCGGCUUUACAACCUGGGGAGUGGGGUAUGUGUGUGCAUAUUCACAUGUUGUCUAUGGAACUGUAGGGGGGAAGAUGGGGACAUUCUCCAGAUACCUCUGGGGGUUGGUCCCCCUUGGAGUCCAAUGACAUGGUGGGGGGGGGGAGGCGGGGGGGGGUUGAACCUUUGUGCAGGGGGGAGUUUCCCCGGGUCACUGGGUUAAGAGACACAUCCCCACAGGCUAGCCCUGCCUGGAAUUUCUGGGGAGCAGGUCCAGGCAGUCUCUACAGGUCACCGUAGGGCUGUGUGACCAUGCAUCCGUGGGGGCCCCGGGGCACAUGAAUCUGGAGUCCGGGCUGUAUACAGCCAAUAGCACUUGGCUUCUCUGAGAAUUCGAGGAAGCUUCAGGAAUGACCGAGAUCAAGGUCAGUGGCCAGAACCAAGCAUCUGUCUUCAGCUGGGGAGCCGCUGGAGAUGGAGGGAAGGUGGAGGUGGGGAAGGGUCCCUGGGUGCCCAGAGCCUGGAGGCAGAUACUUCUCCAGGCCCUAGAGAGGCCUCAGGGGACAAGAGUCAGCGGUAGUAAGAGUAUUUUUGAAAGUCAAGGCUGGUUCUCAGCUGCUUGAGUAAUGCCUUGGAAACCCGGAGAGCUUAGUUACCCCCUCAGAUCUCUCCCAAGAGUCUGGCGCUGGCCUUCUCACAGCCCCGCUAACUCACCUGCUCCCACACCGGCAUCCGCCAGUCUCAGCUGACAUCCCGUCCCAGCUGACGGCAGCCGCGUCCUUCCAGGUGCUCAGGCCAAAGACCUCAGAGUUGUCCUCGAUGGUUCCUUCUCUUACACCUGCCACCUCCUUGAAUGUGGGCCAGGUUCAACUCCCUCCUCCCCUCCUCCCUUCUUCCCUUCUUUUCUUCCUGUAAACUCUACCCCCAACGUGGGCCUUGAACUCACAAUCCCAAGAUCACGAGUCGCCUGCUCUACUCACUGAGCCAGCCAG
Molecule: long non-coding RNA, 3259 nt
Organism: Felis catus (domestic cat)
Lineage: Eukaryota; Metazoa; Chordata; Mammalia; Carnivora; Felidae
Exons: 4
Source: RefSeq, a predicted model, not a curated record